RNAcentral lists this long non-coding RNA (374 nucleotides) under Musa acuminata (dwarf banana). Its description in RNAcentral is "long non-coding RNA (MACU_LNC006803)". Lineage: Eukaryota; Viridiplantae; Streptophyta; Magnoliopsida; Zingiberales; Musaceae. The record is from RNAcentral.
GCAUCUCGGCAGCCAACGGGCCAACCACAAAAACGGUUUUAUUUGGAGGAGAUCGCCGUGGCUUCGGGUUGGGUUUAGAGGUUGCCGUUGACAGAUUUACCACCGUCGACGCAGAUGACUUGGCCAUUGAUGUAGCAAGCAGCAGGGAGGCACAAGAAAGCCACCACAGCUGACACCUCCUCCGACUCGGCCACGCGCCCGAGAGGGAUGCGGUACGUCUCCUUCGCCACGAACUCCUCGAUCGCAAGCAACUGUGUUGGGGACGCAAACAUUUAAGUUUGGAAUCCAGGCAUUUCAUCAACUAGGUGGUGGCGGAGGAGGUCAUUACCGGUUCCAUGAGAGGGGUUCUAACGGAGCCGGGCGCGACGCAGUUG